Molecule: non-coding RNA, 54 nt
Organism: Salmo salar (Atlantic salmon)
Lineage: Eukaryota; Metazoa; Chordata; Actinopteri; Salmoniformes; Salmonidae
Source: Rfam
UGCAUUCACUACUGUAAGUUGCUCUGGAUAAGAGUGUCUGCUAGAUGACUAAAA